Molecule: unclassified non-coding RNA, 272 nt
Filed under: Hevea brasiliensis (rubber tree)
Lineage: Eukaryota; Viridiplantae; Streptophyta; Magnoliopsida; Malpighiales; Euphorbiaceae
Source: RNAcentral
CUCAAAGGUCUUGUUUCUGCCGAAUUUUCAUCGGCUGUCCCUUGCCUUUAUGGGUAGGAGAUGACCCGCCUUCCCCCUGCUCGGUUAUGGGUCUCCCUCCCCUCCUUGGGGUGGGGUUGUGUAUAUUUCUUUUGGACUUGCUUUUGUUGCAUGCAGGUGUAGUUUGAUUUGAAGAGGGUCUUGGAGAAACCUGGAUGGUGAUGGAUCUUAUGUGCAGCGAUGGUGAAGUUGUCCUCUUGGGCAGCGAUUCUGCUUGCUGGUUUUAGGCUAUG